UUGGAGGGCAAGUCUGGUGCCAGCAGCCGCGGUAAGUCCAGCUCCAAUAGCGUAUAUUAAAGUUGUUGCAGUUAAAAAGCUCGUAGUUGAAUUUCGGGAUUAGUACGUUGGUCGUGCCUUCGGUACGUACUGGUGUUACUGAUUCCUACCUUCUGACGAACCGUCAUGUCAUUAAUUUGGUGUGGUGGGGAAUCAGGACUGUUACUUUGAAAAAAUUAGAGUGUUUAAAGCAGGCUCGCGCUUGAAUACAUUAGCAUGGAAUAAUGAAAUAGGACGUUGACCCUAUUUUGUUGGUUUCUAGGAUUGACGUAAUGAUUAAUAGGGAUAGUUGGGGGCAUUAGUAUUCAAUUGUCAGAGGUGAAAUUCUUGGAUUUAUUGAAGACUAACUACUGCGAAAGCAUUUGCCAAGGAUGUUUUCAUUAAUCAAGAACGAAAGUUAGGGGAUCGAAGACGAUCAGAUACCGUCGUAGUCUUAACCAUAAACUAUGCCGACUAGGGAUCGGAUGAUGUUAUUUUUAAUGACUCAUUCGGCACCUUACGGGAAAC
RNAcentral lists this ribosomal RNA (546 nucleotides) under uncultured Glomus. RNAcentral describes it as "SSU rRNA". It matches the Rfam family "Eukaryotic small subunit ribosomal RNA", at positions 548 to 1098 of the family's 1831-position model. Lineage: Eukaryota; Fungi; Glomeromycota; Glomeromycetes; Glomerales; Glomeraceae. The record is from RNAcentral.